This 334-nucleotide unclassified non-coding RNA is filed under the name soil metagenome. RNAcentral describes it as "partial contains 5.8S ribosomal RNA, internal transcribed spacer 2, and large subunit ribosomal RNA". The stretch from base 1 to 120 matches the Rfam family "5.8S ribosomal RNA", at positions 35 to 154 of the family's 154-position model. The record is from RNAcentral.
GAUGAAGAACUCAGCGAAAUGCGAUAAGUAAUGUGAAUUGCAGAAUUCAGUGAAUCAUCGAAUCUUUGAACGCACAUUGUGCCCGCCAGUAUUCUGGCGGGCAUGCCUGUUCGAGCGUCAUUUCAACCAUCAAGCCCCCGGCUUGUGUUGGGGACCUGCGGCUGCCGCAGGCCCUGAAAACCAGUGGCGGGCUCGCUAGUCACUCCGAGCGUAGUAAUACAUCUCGCUCAGGGCGUGCUGCGGGUUCCGGCCGUUAAAAGCCUUAUUUACCCAAGGUUGACCUCGGAUCAGGUAGGAAGACCCGCUGAACUUAAGCAUAUCAAUAAGCGGAGGA